GGUUGAUCCUGCCAGUAGUCAUAUGCUUGUCUCAAAGAUUAAGCCAUGCAUGUCUAAGUAUAAGCUGUGUUAUACUGUGAAACUGCGAAUGGCUCAUUAAAUCAGUUAUAGUUUAUUUGAUGGUACCUACUACUCGGAUACCCGUAGUAAUUCUAGAGCUAAUACGUGCACACAUCCCGACUGGGGGUUUCCCCCCCCGGGAGGGACGUAUAUAUUAGAUUGCAAGACCGACCUGGCGGAGGACUCAACCCCCCCGCCAGCCUCGCGGUGAAUCAUGAUAUCCCGACGAAUC
This 292-nucleotide ribosomal RNA is filed under the name uncultured eukaryote. Its description in RNAcentral is "partial 18S ribosomal RNA". It matches the Rfam family "Eukaryotic small subunit ribosomal RNA", at positions 6 to 270 of the family's 1831-position model. The record is from RNAcentral.